GUGGGGAAUUUUGGACAAUGGGCGCAAGCCUGAUCCAGCAAUGCCGCGUGCAGGAAGAAGGCCUUCGGGUUGUAAACUGCUUUUGUACGGAACGAAACGGUCCUGGUUAAUACCUGGGGCUAAUGACGGUACCGUAAGAAUAAGCACCGGCUAACUACGUGCCAGCAGCCGCGGUAAUACGUAGGGUGCAAGCGGUAAUCGGAAUUACUGGGCGCAAAGCGUGCGCAGGCGGGUUUGUAAGACAGGCGUGAAAUCCCCGGGCUCAACCUGGGAAUUGCGCUUGUGACUGCAAGGCUGGAGUGCGGCAGAGGGGGAUGGAAUUCCGCGUGUAGCAGUGAAAUGCGUAGAUAUGCGGAGGAACACCGAUGGCGAAGGCAAUCCCCUGGGCCUGCACUGACGCUCAUGCACGAAAGCGUGGGGAGCAAACAGGAUUAGAAACCCCGGGUAGUCC
Molecule: ribosomal RNA, 451 nt
Filed under: uncultured bacterium
Lineage: Bacteria
Description: partial 16S ribosomal RNA
Rfam family: Bacterial small subunit ribosomal RNA
Source: RNAcentral